This 85-nucleotide transfer RNA is filed under the name Treponema sp. Its description in RNAcentral is "tRNA-Ser". It matches the Rfam family "tRNA". Rfam says of the family: Transfer RNA (tRNA) molecules are approximately 80 nucleotides in length. Their secondary structure includes four short double-helical elements and three loops (D, anti-codon, and T loops). Lineage: Bacteria; Pseudomonadati; Spirochaetota; Spirochaetia; Treponematales; Treponemataceae. The record is from RNAcentral.
GGAGAGAUGCGAGAGCGGUUGAAUCGGACGGUCCCGAAAACCGUUGAACCUCCGGGUUCCGAGGGUUCGAAUCCCUCUCUCUCCG